CCUACGGGAGGCAGCAGUGAGGAAUAUUGGACAAUGGGCGCAAGCCUGAUCCAGCCAUGCCGCGUGCAGGAUGACGGUCCUAUGGAUUGUAAACUGCUUUUGUACAGGAAGAAACCCUUUCACGUGUGGAAGAUUGACGGUACUGUAAGAAUAAGGAUCGGCUAACUCCGUGCCAGCAGCCGCGGUAAUACGGAGGAUCCAAGCGUUAUCCGGAAUCAUUGGGUUUAAAGGGUCCGUAGGCGGUUUAGUAAGUCAGUGGUGAAAGCCCACCGCUCAACGGUGGAACGGCCAUUGAUACUGCUAGACUUGAAUUAUUAGGAAGUAACUAGAAUAUGUAGUGUAGCGGUGAAAUGCUUAGAGAUUACAUGGAAUACCAAUUGCGAAGGCAGGUUACUACUAAAUGGAUUGACGCUGAUGGACGAAAGCGUGGGUAGCGAACAGGAUUAGAUACCCUGGUAGUCCACGCCGUAAACGAUGGAUACUAGCUGUUGGGCGCAAGUUCAGUGGCUAAGCGAAAGUGAUAAGUAUCCCACCUGGGGAGUACGUUCGCAAGAAUGAAAACUCAAAGGAAUUGAACGGCNGAGAGAGACGACGACGACGACGAGGGAGGAGGAG
This 615-nucleotide ribosomal RNA is filed under the name uncultured bacterium. RNAcentral describes it as "bacterial SSU rRNA". It matches the Rfam family "Bacterial small subunit ribosomal RNA", at positions 338 to 953 of the family's 1533-position model. The record is from RNAcentral.